UUUCCGUAGGUGAACCAGCGGAGGGAUCAUUACAGGACUCGCAAGACUCCUACAACCCUGUGAACUUAACUAUAAGCACGUUGCUUCGGCGGGUGUCUCGGAGGGGGUUCUCCCUCCCCGAGACGCUAAACCCGCCGGCAGCCUACUAUACUCUGUCUCUUUGCGUUGGCAUCUCGAGUACAAUCAAACAAGUUAAAACUUUCAACAACGGAUCUCUUGGUUCUG
This 225-nucleotide unclassified non-coding RNA is filed under the name plant metagenome. Its description in RNAcentral is "partial contains small subunit ribosomal RNA, internal transcribed spacer 1, and 5.8S ribosomal RNA". The record is from RNAcentral.